CCUACGGGGAGCAGCAGUGGGGGAUAUUGCACAAUGGGGGGAACCCUGAUGCAGCGACGCCGCGUGGGUGAAGGAGCGUUUCGGCGCGUAAAGCCCUAUCGGCAGGGAAGAAGGAGGACGGUACCUGACUAAGAAGCCCCGGCUAACGACGUGCCAGCAGCCGCGGUAAUACGUAGGGGGCAAGCGUUAUCCGGAUUUACUGGGUGUAAAGGGGGCGCAGACGGCAGCGCAAGCCAGGAGUGAAAGGGGGGGGCUCAACCCCCGGACUGCUCGGGAAACUGUACGGCUGGAGGGCAGGAGAGGUGAGUGGAAUGCCUGGUGUAGCGGUGAAAUGCGUAGAUAUUAGGAGGAACACCAGUGGCGAAGGCGGCUUACUGGACUGUAACUGACGUUGAGGCUCGAAAGCGUGGGGAGCAAACAGGAUUAGAUACCCUUGUAGUC
RNAcentral lists this ribosomal RNA (441 nucleotides) under uncultured bacterium. RNAcentral describes it as "partial 16S ribosomal RNA". It matches the Rfam family "Bacterial small subunit ribosomal RNA", at positions 338 to 795 of the family's 1533-position model. The record is from RNAcentral.